Molecule: ribosomal RNA, 244 nt
Filed under: uncultured bacterium
Lineage: Bacteria
Description: partial 16S ribosomal RNA
Rfam family: Bacterial small subunit ribosomal RNA
Source: RNAcentral
UACGUAGGGUGCGAGCGUUAAUCGGAAUACUGGCGUAAAGCGUGCGCAGGCGGUUAUGUAAGACAGAUGUGAAAUCCCCGGGCUCAACCUGGGAACUGCAUUUGUGACUGCAUGGCUAGAGUACGGUAGAGGGGGAUGGAAUUCCGGCGUGUAGCAGUGAAAUGCGUAGAUAUGCGGAGGAACACCGAUGGCGAAGGCAAUCCCCUGGACCUGUACUGACGCUCAUGCACGAAGCGUGGGAGCA